AAAGGUAAGCUACUAAGAGCGAAUGGUGGAUGCCUUGACUGGUAAAGGCGAUGAAGGACGUACUAGACUGCGAUAAGCUACGGGGAGCUGUCAAGAAGCUUUGAUCCGUAGAUUUCCGAAUGGGGCAACCCAAUGUAUAGAGAUAUACAUUACCUAUAUAGGAGCGAACGAGGGGAAUUGAAACAUCUUAGUACCCUCAGGAAAAGAAAUCAAUAGAGAUUGCGUCAGUAGCGGCGAGCGAAAGCGCAAGAGGGCAAACCCAGUGCUUGCACUGGGGGUUGUAGGACUGCAAUGUGCAAGAGGUGAGUUUAGCAGAACAUUCUGGAAAGUAUAGCCAUAGAGGGUGAUAGUCCCGUAUGCGAAAAACAAACCUUAGCUAGCAGUAUCCUGAGUAGGGCGGGACACGAGAAAUCCUGUCUGAAGCUGGGUCGACCACGAUCCAACCCUAAAUACUAAUACCAGAUCGAUAGUGCACAAGUACCGUGAGGGA
RNAcentral lists this ribosomal RNA (490 nucleotides) under Campylobacter coli. Its description in RNAcentral is "partial 23S ribosomal RNA". It matches the Rfam family "Bacterial large subunit ribosomal RNA", at positions 1 to 510 of the family's 2925-position model. Lineage: Bacteria; Pseudomonadati; Campylobacterota; Epsilonproteobacteria; Campylobacterales; Campylobacteraceae. The record is from RNAcentral.